Molecule: ribosomal RNA, 532 nt
Filed under: uncultured bacterium
Lineage: Bacteria
Description: partial 16S ribosomal RNA
Rfam family: Bacterial small subunit ribosomal RNA
Source: RNAcentral
UGGGGAAUUUUGGACAAUGGGCGAAAGCCUGAUCCAGCAAUGCCGCGUGUGUGAAGAAGGCCUUCGGGUUGUAAAGCACUUUUGUCCGGAAAGAAAUCCUUGGCUCUAAUACAGUCGGGGGAUGACGGUACCGGAAGAAUAAGCACCGGCUAACUACGUGCCAGCAGCCGCGGUAAUACGUAGGGUGCAAGCGUUAAUCGGAAUUACUGGGCGUAAAGCGUGCGCAGGCGGUUGCUAAGACCGAUGUGAAAUCCCCGGGCUAACCUGGGAACUGCAUUGGUGACUGGCAGGCUAGAGUAUGGCAGAGGGGGGUAGAAUUCCACGUGUAGCAGUGAAAUGCGUAGAGAUGUGGAGGAAUACCGAUGGCGAAGGCAGCCCCCUGGGCCAAUACUGACGCUCAUGCACGAAAGCGUGGGGAGCAAACAGGAUUAGAUACCCUGGUAGUCCACGCCCUAAACGAUGUCAACUAGUUGUUGGGGAUUCAUUUCCUUAGUAACGUAGCUAACGCGUGAAGUUGACCGCCUGGGGAGUA